AAACACAAAAAACUUCAAUUACACUGCCCCAAUCAUAGAAUGAAUAGUUCGUCCGCCUGUAAAAAGUUGUUAAUGGUGGAUACAUGGGAAUGGAUAUCAGUGGUGAAGCUUGCUUCGAUGGAAGCGACUGCAAGGGGAUGCCAACUAUCUCUCCUUUGUCUUUGUUGCAUAAAAGCUUGUUAAGUGAGCUUUCAGAUCGAGUUCCAUUGGUGAUGCUUAAAAUGUCUUUGUUUCUUCUGCAAAAAACAUAAACAAACACAUUUUUUGCUUCGGCUUUUUAUAAUUCAAAUUCACAAUUCCCUUGUUUUCACCAUUUCAUAUCGCAAGGCCCGUAUUUUUUAAAAAAAAUGUUUUUCUGACAA
Long non-coding RNA from Tripterygium wilfordii, 362 nucleotides. RefSeq lists it as uncharacterized. The transcript is spliced from 2 exons. The record is from RefSeq and is a predicted model, not a curated record. Lineage: Eukaryota; Viridiplantae; Streptophyta; Magnoliopsida; Celastrales; Celastraceae.